CCUGGAGACUCCUACGGGAGGCAGCAGUGGGGAAUAUUGCGCAAUGGGGGCAACCCUGACGCAGCCAUGCCGCGUGAAUGAAGAAGGCCUUCGGGUUGUAAAGUUCUUUCGGUGACGAGGAAGGUUGUUGUGUUAAUAGCGCAACAAAUUGACGUUAAUCACAGAAGAAGCACCGGCUAACUCCGUGCCAGCAGCCGCGGUAAUACGGAGGGUGCGAGCGUUAAUCGGAAUAACUGGGCGUAAAGGGCACGCAGGCGGCUAUUUAAGUGAGGUGUGAAAUCCCCGGGCUUAACCUGGGAAUUGCAUUUCAGACUGGGUAGCUAGAGUACUUUAGGGAGGGGUAGAAUUCCACGUGUAGCGGUGAAAUGCGUAGAGAUGUGGAGGAAUACCGAAGGCGAAGGCAGCCCCUUGGGAAUGUACUGACGCUCAUGUGCGAAAGCGUGGGGAGCAAACAGGAUUAGAUACCCUUGUAGUCCUAG
RNAcentral lists this ribosomal RNA (479 nucleotides) under uncultured bacterium. RNAcentral's name for it is "bacterial SSU rRNA". It matches the Rfam family "Bacterial small subunit ribosomal RNA", at positions 328 to 799 of the family's 1533-position model. The record is from RNAcentral.